UGGGGAAUAUUGCACAAUGGGCGCAAGCCUGAUGCAGCCAUGCCGCGUGUAUGAAGAAGGCCUUCGGGUUGUAAAGUACUUUUAUCGGGGAGGAAGGGAUUAAAGUUAAUACCUUUGCUCAUUGACGUUACCCGCAGAAGAAGCACCGCCUAACUCCGUGCCAGCAGCCGCGGUAAUACGGAGGGUGCAAGCGUUAAUCGGAAUUACUGGGCGUAAAGCGCACGCAGGCGGUUUGUUAAGUCAGAUGUGAAAUCCUCGGGCUCAACCUGGGAACUGCAGUUGAUACUGGCAAGCUUGAGUAUCGUAGAGGGGGGUGGAAUUCCAGGUGUAGCGGUGAAAUGCGUAGAGAUCUGGAGGAAUACCGGUGGCGAAGGCGGCCCACUGGACGAAGACUGACGCUCAGGUGCGAAAGCGUGGGGAGCAAACAGG
Molecule: ribosomal RNA, 429 nt
Filed under: Chloroflexota bacterium
Lineage: Bacteria; Bacillati; Chloroflexota
Description: Chloroflexi bacterium partial 16S ribosomal RNA
Rfam family: Bacterial small subunit ribosomal RNA
Source: RNAcentral